Gallus gallus (chicken) is the source of this 1679-nucleotide long non-coding RNA. RefSeq lists it as uncharacterized. NCBI's taxonomy places the organism in Eukaryota, Metazoa, Chordata, Aves, Galliformes, Phasianidae. The transcript is spliced from 3 exons. The record is from RefSeq and is a predicted model, not a curated record.
CCCCCGGCGCGGCCCAGGAGCGGCCCCGCCCUGCCCCCGCCGCCCUCACUGCGGCGCCCCGCCCCGCUCGCCGCCCGAGAGGCGUGCCCGUCUCGCCACGCCCACCUGCUGCCCGUUUUCCUGCGCACCUCCGCGUUCCCGAGCCGCGCGCAGGCGUGCUGGGGGGCUCUCGUGGGCGCGCACGCGCGGCGCAGGGCGGGGGAGGGGAGGGGUUUUUUUCUGGGGCUCGGGGUGGGGUGUGUUCGGCUCUGAGAGCGUCUGUGGGAUUUCGGGCGGAAAUGGGGGGGUAUCAUGUCGGCUAGCUGGUGCGGAGUCUUCUUUAAGAGACCAAGUACCUUGUCCUAGGAGCUCAAGUGGUGUAGCAGUUAAAAUUUUUAAUACUUAAGUACGUACGUAUUUCUUUAAGGAACUCCAUUUUUCCUCAGGCUAGGUAGGGGUUGAAGUUACUGCAUCUCUUUGCCCUUCGCGGUGGCCGGGCUAUUAUUAGCAGCGUGACUAAACCUGGUUGAAUUUCAGAUGCAUCUCCAGAAGCUGGCUGUCUGCAGCCUGCUGGGCUGGGAUCUGCUGAAUGGAGCUUGGGAACUGGGUCACAGCGAAUGCCUCCCGAGGCCUUCCGCACAAGUUCUGGUGUGCCAAGCUGCCUCCGUGAAUUUAUUGAAUGGGAGGAUAUAAUUUUUCCCCAGCUUUAACCUGGAAUUGCAGUAAUUAGGCUUAAAAUUAGAUAACCACCAUUUAUGAGUAAGGUAAACCCUGGAGUUUUAGCAGCAUGUUGUAUUUGGUUAAGGGGGGCCUCUGUGAGAAAGGACCAGGGACUCCUGUGAGAGGCAAAGCUAGCCCCAGGCAGCAGUCAGACCUCCUGCUGGCCAAUGUGGAGCCCAUUGGCAGCAUUGAUGGUGCCUCUGUAAUAUAUUUAGAAAGAGAAAGGUAAGUGCAUAAAGGUGAGAGGGCGACCCUCCCAGGGUCACUGAAGAAGGAGGAGCUCCAGGCCUGAGGCCCAGGAGAGGCUGUGGAUGAGAAGGCUGUCUCCUGCUGCCUCCAGGCACUGCACAGGGCACAUCUCCACGUGAGUUAUGAAGGAGCCCACAGGGCAGCAGUGACUGAGGCAUAAAGGAAAUACAGUCCAUGCAGAGCCCUGCAGGAGACCCUGGGGCAGAGCUGCAGCCCGUGGGGACCCACGUUGGAGCCGUCCAUCAUGAUGUGAAAAGGACUCAUGCUGAACCAGUUUAUAAAAGAGCCACAUGCUUGAGUGGAGGAGGAGUGCAAGGAAAGGGUGGCAGAGAUAACAUGUUAUGAACUGACUUCCACUCACAGUAGCCAUCCUCCUUGCAAUGCUUAGAUCUCUCCACUACACAAAAUAUUGGUGAAUCUUGACAGCAGUCAGCUAGCUUUGAAGGUCUACUGAAAAAAAACUGCUUACUGUUGAUGAAAUGCAAAACUGGAUGAGUUUUAGCAGCCAGAUUCCUGAUUCAAGUUGUGCCUAGAGGCUGCAGCUUUCUUUGUGCAGACUGGGGAUCACAGGAGUAUAGCUUUCUGUUGAGUGCUGCAUUAAUGCUACUCAAGUUCUACAGAAGUGACUCAACAUCCCACAGGCCUGCCAGGAUGACAAGUCACUUGCAGGAUUCAGUGCUGGCUUUGUUACAGAACAGCCGCUGACGACCUUCUCAAUCCCAUCCUGGACU